CAGUGCCGUUGUGCCAUUAUAUCCUUUCUUCCCCCCUUUCUACAUGUAUUCAGUUCCUGUUCUACAUAUUGUCCAUUAGAAUGAAAUUCUUCCUCUGAUCAGGAACAUCCCAGGUGGAUGGAAAGAAGCGCUCCUCCCUGUUCUGAGUGAACCGGGUCGUGGAUGGAACAUCUCGCCACAGUCUUCUUUCGCAUUUUUCUAUUUUCUUUUUCAUUAUUAAGCUACCUGUAAUCAAAUAUAUUUCCGUUACUUUAGCAAAGCACCACGAGUUCCCUUAAUGUAACUUUAGAGCUGUUGUUCAUUCUUUAAUUAGAAACGACAUGUAUCUAAAUGGGAAUCAAAUUAAAAAAUAUUUAUCAGCGCUUUAGAAAUAAAAACAAUUUGCAAAUUUUUUUAUGUAAUGAGACAGAGAAAUCUAAAUAAAUAAACAAAUGGAUCACCAACAGGGCGGCACCGCUCCCAGAAAUGCCUCGGAGCCGAGUCACUGGAGGAGAGGCAGAAUCCCAGACGUCAAACACACACACACCUACAGUCUGCCGAUUUACGUUCUUGUUGAAAAGCAACAAGAGCAAUCAAGGGAUGGAGAGGUAGGUUGUCGACUAGUUUUUCUAGUUUCUGGAAUCUUUUAAUGAUUGUCACUCAUCCACCAAACGUCAAUGCUUAAUAUGUAGUUAAAAGUCAGUUCAAGUCGCAUCAAAUAGAACAUCAAAUGAUAGAGUGCAAAAGAAACAGAUUUUAAACAUUAUUUAAAUACAAUUAAAACAUGUGGAAUCUAGAUUACUAGAUUAUUAGAUGAAAAUAGGCAGAUGUAAAAUAAGCCAUAAAAGUUUAGAUAAAUUCAGAAUAUUUCAUGAAUCUAAAUCGGCUGAAAGGUAUAAAUAUUAUGAACUUCUCGAUUCUACUUUUCUUCAAGAUUCUUCAAUAGCAGAGACAAAAAAACAUAAAAUACUUGACUACAAAGAGCCUCAAAGCUUCUAGAGAAAGACCACAACCACUAUGAAGAGACACAAAGCAACGCCAAAAAGAUACAAAGAGUCAAAGACUAUAAAAAGGGACCAACCACCAAAAGACACAAAACAACCAUAAACAACUUAGGAGACACAAAAGACAACUUCACAAAACCCUUCAAGCCUUCACAGCGUGAACUAGGCUGCAGCGCCGUUGUGUCUGAUGUGUCUCUUUGUGGGUCUCUGAAUGUCUUUCUAAUGUCUUUUGUCUCACAGCCUGAGCACAUGCCUUGUUCUCGUGUCAGUCGCACAUGAUGCAUCCUGACAUGUUGACUGUUUACAAACAACGCCCUGCUCUUCUGCCAACGUCACAACAACAGCAAAGAAAUGUCCCCACAAAAGAGUGGGCGGGGCUUGUUUCCCUGUAAUACGUCUGUCUCAAACAGCUGUAAUACCUUUAUUUAGAAAUAGGUUUAUAUGAUGUGAUAAUUCAAAACGAGUGUACAUUUAUUUGUGCAAGCACUAAACAAAUAAAAGCUUUUAUUCAGCAGCAGAUUAAACAGUUCUUCCUCAAUUCCUCAAUUUAAACACUUAAAAUCAACAUUAAAAAAAAGUAAAUGUCCCCAAGGGCGGUCAGAAGUGUGGCCCGGGGGCCCAUAACUGGUCUUGUAAUGUAUUGUUUAUGGCCCACAAACACUGUUAAAUAAAAAGUGGUCAAUCAAUUGUAAAUAAGUAACGUUCUGUAUAUAUUGUACAAACAAAUGAUGACACGUGUCAACUGUUUAGCCAGGGUUAAUUCAUAAAGUGGAUCAUUAUCACUUGAAUGGUCUCAAUCACUGCUCUGUUAAUAAUGACAAUAAGGCAUUCAUGCUUUCAAUCGCCCGGAUAUUCUCACACUUACAUGAAAGACUCACAAUGUCUGUUGAGCUCACACCGAUUAUACCGGCAUUGAAUGAACUGAAGAAAACAAAUUCAUCUUUUCAUAACUUCCAUGUGUCUUCAACCGAGGUGAAAAGUUCAAACCAGAGUCUGGAUAAGAAGGCAUGGCAGUUUAUUUAAAGUAAUGGCCUUGGCCACAUGACUCCCUGGUGCCCUUUUAAGAUUUUCUUUCCUAAAAUCUUCUUCUCUUUUGGUUGCAGCAAAUCCCAUGAAUAAUAUUUGAUCAGUAAAUAUAAACAUAAAUAUUCCCUAUUUUUUUGGAAUUAAUAUUUUAUCCGAUGAAGAUUGAUAUAAAUCUGUCUUUGUAGGAUACAUUUAAAUCCUAUAACAUCGACUGGAUAUACAUGUUACCAUGUUUAUAAAUAGCACAGAGCCGAUGUGAUUAUGAGUCAAUGGAAUAUGUUUGUGAUAUUUAAAGGAAGAUAGUGUAAAAUGAUCAGAGGUAUUUUGUUUUGGUUUCACUUUGUGACGACAGCAGCUUCCUUUGCGCAGGAAUAGAAAUAGAAACAUGGUGUUGACUUACGCCGGCCUCGCCGAGGCGCCGCCCUCCGCUUUAUCCUGCGGUGUGCGCCCGUCCUUGUGAGGAGGAGAACCUGAACACGGGAGGAGAGCAUCGACCCAGAGGAGCAGCAGAAGGCCUCGGAUCAGUCCAACACCUGGAAGGUCAUGUGACUCCAGGUUCUAAAAGCAUCAUCUUUGCUAGAAUGGCACCACAAGGGGACGUCAGGGGGCUCUGCCGAGGGUCUUCACAUCAGAUGUGAAAGUCAAACAUAAAGAGUCUGUUUAUAGCUUCUCUACUUUUCAGAUCAAAGUGCAUAUAUGUGUGCUUCCUGCUCGGGACUUUAUCGGAGAGGAAGUAGAGGAAACACCAAAGAAACAUCACGUUCUCCAGUACAGACCUCAGAGGACCAGACGAACCGCUGUGAGCUCAUCAGCGCUGCACCAGAAGGUCGUCCAGGUCCCCUCUCUCCACUAUAUUAAUGUUUAUUUAUUGGCAGAUGGGAAUCAAUCAGGAACGGGAAAUAAACCAGAAACUCACACAGCGUUCUGUUGUUCCUGGAUGAAAGGAUCUUAAAGUAGACAGAUGAAAGUCAAACCAAAUUGCCCAGAGGUGACUCGCCCUGCCCGUUUUACCCACAAUGCAGCAAAGCAGAAUGGUCCAUAUUUGUGGAAGCCGAAUGUCCCAGAGCGCAUUUUACCCCAGAAACGGGCAACAGUGGUAGAGGAUCACGUCCAUGUUAGUGAUCUGCUCAGCACCUCGCUUUCAUCUCCUGAGGAGGGACACGAAUAACGGGGAAGACUCCCGCCUGAAUAAAAAGGUAUAAAAGAACUAAACAAAGAAUUACAACACAUUACAAAGCAACAUGAACUGCAAAGUGUAUUUCAAAUUACAAUGGAACCUGUAGUUACAAACACACACUAAUGACAUCAUUUGGGUCUUUUAUACGGAUACUGUCGGGAUCUCUGAUCCCCCCGAGUUGGUUGAUGAGAAGGAUCGCAACACGUUGAUCAAUUAAAGUCAAAAAGUUAACAUUUAUUUAGAAGAGAAAAAGAUUACAUGAGCAAUUCUCCGCAGAUAUAUCUGGCUCUAACUAUUGCUUGCAAGCAGGAGAUCGAAUUCACGAGCACAUAUCUCAGCGUUUGGUGUAAAUGGCGUCUCCGAGCAGUAGAAACGCUGAGUCUUUAUACACAUGUGAAGGCCAUGCUCAUUGCCAAGUACGAGAAGCUGCAAAUCAGGUUGAGAUAAGAACCCAGGUGAAGAUGAACACACACUGCUCCUUUGUUCAAGCGCCUGUGAGAGCAAGUUAACUCCCUUCUUCAGAAACAGCUGCAUAUGGAAACCUUAAAUCUUUUGAGUUCUGCGUCUGAAAAUCUGCGUUUUUGCACAUCAGGGUCAAAUACAGACACUUGAGACAUGGCUUUAGCACAAGACAGUGUUAUAACAUAUUUUACCAUUACAUGCAAUAACAAUACAAAACCUUUUUAUUUGCAUAGAAACACACAUUUACCUCUGAAACCUUUUUCUGUUAUUUAUCCACAAGAAAGCUUUCGAUGAAGGGAGACGUUUCCAGCGUGCUCAUCUGUGGACCUGUCCCCAUGGGGUGGAGAAGAGGGACACCUAGUCGCAGCAGCCGCAACAUCUGUGUGCUGCUACGUCUGUCCCGGGGGAGUCCAGGACAAGAAGGACUCCAUAGCAGAAAUACUUUUUUUAAAGUAAGAAUACCAAACGGACCAACGAGACAGACCAAAAGACCACCCACCAUGGACUAACGAGCCGAGAAGGAGACAGGGACACGCAUGGCUGUCCGGUGGACGACCAGAGGGAGGAUAAAGUCGAAGCAUGACGUCGGCGUAUCUUGCUGCUACUUGUGACCCUGUCUUUUUCGUGUCUCAUUAUCGGUCGUCCUCCUCACCCGUUCCCCUGUCGGCCCAAAAGCACAUACAGUUUGCACCAGUUCAUUCCACCGGCACUCUGACAGUUGUAAUGGUAAAAAUAUGUUAUAACAUUGUUUUGUGCUAAAGCCGUGUCUCAAGUGUCCUGUAUUUGACCCCGAUGUGCAAAGAGCAGCAUGAUACAAAAUGUUAGUUUGCGGCUGUGCCCUGAGAAGGGAGGACGGUUGACUCGAUCUCAUAGAAGCUUCAAAACAAAGGACUCCUGUUCAUGGCCUUGGUUGAUAUCUUAUUUUGUACGAAAGUUCUGGAUCCAAGUUUUACUUUUAUGUCAAUUAAUAAUGAUUGGUACCGGCCACUGAGGAGGAUCUUGUGUGUGUGUGCUACCCUCAGCUUCACCUGGGUUCUUAUCUCAACCCGCUUUGAAGCUUCUCGUAACGGGCAUGGAGAAUGUCCUUCAUAUGUGUAUAAAAACUCAGCGUUCUUACUGCUCGGAGACGUCAUUUCCACAGAGCACCGUGAUACGUGCCUGUGUAUUUGACCUCCUGCUUGCAAGCAAUAAAUGGACUUUUUGCAACUUUGAUCAUUCAUCAAGACUCUGUUUUAUCAGACAAAUCAUUGUCUUCUACCGAGCUUUUAUUGAAAUAUUCCUUAACACAGUUCAUAAUCAUAAAAACUGUUUUGUAGACUUGGGAACGACUAUAUCAUUUCCCAGGUUCAUUAAAAGUUGUGGCCCUGAUGACAGUGUAAGGGUGGUGAAAGUAAUGUACUAUUAAUUAAAUCAACGUAUGUCAACCCGUCAAACAGGUUCCGGGACAUUUGCCCUUCAUGACUUGGUGUUUUAAAUAACUCUGACUUACUUGUCUUCUGGUUCGUAAAUACUAUUAGUCAGCUGGCUCCAUUGUUCACUACAUACAACUUCCCUGAAUCUGAAACAAGAUCAUUUGUCUGACGUCAAGACAGCUUUUAUGUCCAGAUUGAGAAUUGUGAGUCAUUAUAAAGAAAUCAUAUUUGAAUAAGUUCAUUACUUUCAAAAGCGUCACAGCAUCACUUGUUACUAGUUUGUGUAAAUAUGAAUCUGCACUUUUCCAUCACAUGCCAAUCAACGUAUGCUUUACAAAAUGAGGGUAUUAAGUUAAGUUUUUAUUCUCUGAUUUGAAUGUCUGUCAGGCUCUUUCUGCUCAAGAUGAGAGCUUGUCUUCAAUAAUAUUUUUGGAUAUCCUGUGUUUAUUGCAAUGACUUGUGGGUAAUUCCCUUGGACCAAGUCGCCAUUUGAUGUGAAUGACACAAAGGGCUCGUUAUGACGUGACAGAAGCAAACCGUCCAACGUAAUCUCCCAAACCUGUUCGUAAAAAUGUAUACGAAAAUCUUGAACAUACGAACUGGCGGGGGUUAACCACGCCCCUUGAGUGAACAACAUGUCGGACCAUGUUGGAUUCUUGAGUGACCGUCUCUCCGCCAUGUUGGAUAUUUUGAGGGGGUUAGGGUUAGUAUUCGAUUCUUACAAUUUAAUAUUGAUUUCUCGUUAAAAAUGCAAUCAUAACACGUUUAUUUUACAUCGUUAGACUUCACAAAGUGUGUUUACGGGGUGCAGGUCCCCAUUCACUUUGAAUAGGGUGACGUCAUCAGUUACAGUAUUUAUUUAGUAUGUAUCACUACGAAUUUGUAUGUUCAAUUUUUGUAUACAGGUUUUGGAGAUCAGGCUGAACCGUCAGAAGGUCAACGGGAGCCUCGAAGUCAAAGAGGGCAGAGUUCACGAUACAUAUAUUCAUAAAUACAAAUAAUAAUGCAACGUGUGUUAUGUACAUGCAUCAAGAAAUGAAAUGUAAAAAAAUAUAUGAUAAAAAUCUUCCCGCUGACAAAAGUUUGUUAUUAAACAAAAGGACUUUUCAGUAUUUUCUUGACUAACAAAUUGUGGCACUUAAAUUGUACUUAUAACGCCACUCAUCUAUAGCAAAUUGUAAAUUGGCUUAUCUGAGGAAAUUGCACUUUCUGUUUUCUUGUUCUUAUGAGUUUGUACCCCUAUGGUUGAAUGCACUUAUUGUAAGUCGCUUUGGAUAAAAGCGUCAGCUAAAUGACAUGUAAUGUAAAAAAAAUAUAUAUUUUGGCAGCACACAUUUUAUCAACAGCGAGAUUAGGUUUUCAUAACUCUGUGAACAUGUGACAUCAGAGCGGCCGAGCAGCUGAUUUAACAUGUUCCCAUUGUCCCUGGAGCAGCUUUCCAACCCAAAGGUCGUGUUACACAACAGGUUUCUCCUCUAACGUGCUUCCCUUAAAGCCGAAUGAGCUGUGAUGCUUGUGCGUUUAUGAAACAGGCCGAGGCCGGAUUAUCGUUUGAGCUGCACCUAAUUACAUUCCUGUCAGAGCUUGAUACCCAAAAUGUAUUUGACAUAUACAAGACGUAAAAGAUAACUGCAUAGAACUUGUCACACACUCCUGACAGGAGAAACAGCUCAUUUUACAUAUUCUAUUAUCAUAUUCUGUAACCUUUUGGAGGGUUUUUUCUUUGCGGUCCUGGGACAGAAGGUGUUGUUAUUUGUAAAAGUUGUAAAGCCAUCAAGCAAAAGGUUUGAACCAGUUCAUUACUCAUACUCAGCCCUGAGGAUUCCACCAAUUCAAUCAGUCAAUCCCCAAUAAGUUGAUUUGCUCCAGUGAAAUGAUCAAAAGUAUUCAAAAUGGCUCCGUGUAGAUGCAUGUAAAACACAGGAAGACAUUGCUUAUAUUUUGACGCAUCUGCUGCAAAAUAUCUUCUAAAAUAACAUAAAUGACGUGUAAUAAAACAUUAUAGUUGUUCCAGGUUGCAGUUUUAUGGGGAUGAAACAUAUUGUCCUUGUAAUAUGAAAGCCAUGUGAUCCGGUUUAUCAUGUAAACUAUGUGCCGAUCCCCAUAAGGUGCCCGUACGUGUGUCCACAAGAACACAAGUUCAGCAAGUUUAUAAUUGCAACAUUAAAACAAGGUGGAGUCUGAUGUACGGUAAGUCUAUUAAUCAGGCUCUGGGUUGGUUGUUCUUUAUCUUCUGCACAAAGUGAACGCCAGCAGCGACAGUCAUGAUCUAAUAAAACAUUUAUGGGACGCUAAAACUUUGUUGAAAUUUCAUUAUUUAGAUUAAAUGACCAUGUUUUAAAAAUGUUGAAAACUACAAAUGAAAAACAUUGAAAUAGAUCAAAAAUAUGGUUACUUUCUGAAUUUACUGUGAUCCUCAGUUACUUUCUUUCUCUUCUCACCUCAACAGAACCUCGGAGAACACUCGGGUUUGAUAUGGAAGCUCACCUCAAGUCCACCAUAGAUCUUGUGACCUGAGCUCAGACAAAUCAUGUUUAUUCACUUCAUAACCGCAUGGACUGUUCACGAUUGUUCCUGAAAAAUUAUGUAUAUACACCAAAGUACUG
Molecule: long non-coding RNA, 7666 nt
Organism: Gasterosteus aculeatus aculeatus (three-spined stickleback)
Lineage: Eukaryota; Metazoa; Chordata; Actinopteri; Perciformes; Gasterosteidae
Source: Ensembl